UACAGAGGUCUCAAGCGUUGUUCGGAUUCAUUGGGCGUAAAGGGUGCGUAGGCGGCUUAUUAAGUCAGGGGUGAAAGACGGUGGCUCAACCAUCGCAGUGCCCUUGAUACUGAUGAGCUUGAAUACACUUGAGGUAGGCGGAAUGUGACAAGUAGCGGUGAAAUGCAUAGAUAUGUCACAGAACACCAAUUGCGAAGGCAGCUUACUAAGGUGCAAUUGACGCUGAGGCACGAAAGCGUGGGGAUCAAACAGG
This 253-nucleotide ribosomal RNA is filed under the name uncultured bacterium. RNAcentral describes it as "partial 16S ribosomal RNA". It matches the Rfam family "Bacterial small subunit ribosomal RNA", at positions 524 to 776 of the family's 1533-position model. The record is from RNAcentral.